Molecule: ribosomal RNA, 433 nt
Filed under: uncultured bacterium
Lineage: Bacteria
Description: partial 16S ribosomal RNA
Rfam family: Bacterial small subunit ribosomal RNA
Source: RNAcentral
AACGAACGCUGGCGGCAUGCCUAACACAUGCAAGUCGAACGAGAACUUCGGGUCUAGUGGCCCACGGGUUCGGAACCCGUGGGAAUCUACCCUCAGGUGCGACAUACCUCAGAGAAAUUUGAGCUAAUACCGGAUGAUUACGUAAUUCCCAAGAUUUCUUGCCUGAGGAUGAGCCCGCUUAGGAUUAGGUAGUUGGUGAGGUAAAGGUUCACCAAGCCGGGGAUACUUAGCUGGUCUGAGAGCAGCACCAGACAGACUGGGACUGAAACACAGCGCGGACUUCCACGGGAGGAAGAAGAUGGGAAUAUGGGACGAUGGGCGAAAGCGUGAUACAGUCAAGCCGAGUGAGUGAGGAAGGAAAUAGGGUUGUAAAACCCAUUGAAACGGGAGGAUAAUGACAGUACCGGGAGAAAAAGCCCCGGCUAACUCCGUG